This is a long non-coding RNA of Amphimedon queenslandica, 139 nucleotides long. RefSeq lists it as uncharacterized. The transcript is spliced from 2 exons. Lineage: Eukaryota; Metazoa; Porifera; Demospongiae; Haplosclerida; Niphatidae. The record is from RefSeq and is a predicted model, not a curated record.
UUCAAGACACCAUUGACUCCAAUAAAGCUAGAUAUUAAAGAUCUUGAUAUUGUCAUUGAAGAGCUAACAAUACUCAAUCAGUUACCUUGCCAUAUAUGGCAUGAUCUUGGUCUUCAGCUAGGACUCUAUCAGCCUACAC